AUGUACAAUCCCCUUAAUCCAAUAUAUAUCAAGUCUUUGGGAUGCAUGUACUACCUGAGCAAUGAGCUCCUGCGUCGGGUGAGCGUCCGCCCGCGGCGCUGCCAGAUCCGCUCCAGCCGUCCUCCCCCUGCGGCCGCCGAGGACAGAUCCGGUGCCCCUGCUCUGCUGCGUGCCUCAUGUGAGGAGAUGGGCGUCUCCCGUUCGCGCUCACGGGUGGGCGCGCGGCGCCGCCGCCCGCUUCUUCCUCGGCAGUCCUUCGGUGUUGCGGCCUCGUCCGGUUACUGCUGCUCUGCCUCGACCUCCGUUCGCUCUGCGUGUGACGGCCAGGCUCCGACGCCUCCUCCCCCGUGUGUCUCCUCUCCCACGGCCGAUUCGCGGCGAACUUCGGGCGGGCCUCGCUCUCCUGCUGCUUCGACGAUGGGAGCCGUCCCGGCCUCUCCUGCUGCCGGCGUCGCCCCGGCCCGUCUGCCGCCGCCAUCUGCGCGCGGCCUAGCCGCGGCCUCCCUCGCCUCCCGCAAGGCUGACCCGACCGUGCAGGGGCGACAGGUCUCGUGCGAGGUUCCGUCCAUGCCCGAGUCGCCGGCAAGGUCCAAGCUGGUCCUCGCGACGCCAACACCUACCGCAUCACCCGUCGUUACUGCUGGAGACGGCGGUCAUGUCACUGGGCCCUCUUCCGACCUGAGGGCUGGAAAGCUACUGGCUGCCUCGGGUGCUCCUGAUGCUUUGGCUGCGGGUAUGGUGCAGUCUUUGUGGAGCUCCCUCGACGACGAUGACGAAGAUGAUGAGGAUGGUGUUGAGCUGGCCCCGCAAACGCCGCUGCCUACCAAGUGCUCCAGCGGGGUGAGCGCUGAGCAUGAGGCAGCUACCUGCGUGGGUUGGCAGGAGGUGCGGCCGCGGCAUGGUUCACAUCGUCUGGCGUCUCGAGCUCCGGCUUCGUCCCCUUGGCCCAUCCCUGCGUGGCUCCAUGGCCGAUGCUGCAGGUGCCUUGUUACUGGACACCGUGCAGCGAAGUGCACGGAUCCCUUUCGGUGCUCUCACUGCCUGGGGAACGGCCAUCGGGUCCAUGAGUGUCGGAACGCUUGGCGUCCCCUCAGCUUGCUCGAUAACCCUACUGCUUCGUCAUUGUCUCGCCUCGACACCAUUAAUCAUCUUCAUCCACCUUCAUGUCAAGCCCACUCUAAUGCCACGCUUUCCUCCAAGGCGAUCCAAUGUGACUCCUGGGCGUCGGUUGUUUCUUCUUCUGCUGGUUCUACAGCCUCAGCUGAGGUGGCACUUAAGUCUGUCUUUACUGCGCAAGCCGAGCUGCUACGCUCUGAGCUGCAAGGCAUGGCUUCCUUGCAGAUGGUGAAGGCGAUUCAGCCUCUGAGUGAUGUGGUUGAUUCAAUGCACGGAUGGCUGCUGCGGGCUGGGAGCCUUCUGGAGCGUGCAGAGGUUGCUCUGGGCAGGCUAUCUCCUGCGACGGCCGAGGCGCCACUCCCUCCUAUGUCGCCUCCUCUGCCAAAGCUUGUCGUUGACUUCGAGGGCGACAAUGAUGUGGAUCUCUAUGGCUGCUUUUCCCCUCGUGCUUCUGGCUUCUCGCCCCGUGUUGGGUCCAGUUCGACGCCCCAAGUGUUGCUGGACUUCGAGGGUGUGGCCUCCGUCGAGGUAGUGUCUCCGGUGUUGCAGAUCAUGCCCGAGCUGCAGAUGUUGAGUGGGGAACUUGUUUCACCUUUGUCGAUGGAGCAACUCAAGUUGGACUCUCCCCAGGCUUCGGAGGUGGAUUUGGUGUCCUCACCACCCCCCAUGGAGCCUUGUCAGGUGUCAAACAUCCUACCUCUCGACGUCAUGGAGAGCGGAGUUUUAGAUGCUGUCGUCGUUCCCUCAUCUAUGUCCAUCGGGCAGGUGAUGCCUGUGAGUGGCAUGACCACGGAGCCACUUGUGUUGGCACCUACCCCAAAUUCAAAUGCUCUCUUCGCGAAGGAACAUUGUGACUUGCUAGCCAGCGUUGAAGUUGCUAGACCUGGUUUAGGUAGGUCGAUUGCUUGCCACCUAACAGGAACGCCAAUAAGGGACAAACAAAAGAAGGUGGGCAAUCGCAAGAGUGGCGCCAAAGGCAAGACGUCUUUGGCUGCUUGA
Molecule: ribosomal RNA, 2115 nt
Filed under: Triticum aestivum (bread wheat)
Lineage: Eukaryota; Viridiplantae; Streptophyta; Magnoliopsida; Poales; Poaceae
Description: partial small subunit ribosomal RNA
Source: RNAcentral